GGCAGUGUAGUAUAAUGGGUAAGAUGUUGGCCUUGUAACCUGAAGGUCACAGGUUCGAUUCCCCGGUAGGACACUGCUG
Molecule: transfer RNA, 79 nt
Filed under: Anguilla anguilla (European eel)
Lineage: Eukaryota; Metazoa; Chordata; Actinopteri; Anguilliformes; Anguillidae
Description: tRNA-OTHER
Source: RNAcentral